UACGGGGGGGGCAAGCGUUGUUCGGAAUUACUGGGCGUAAAGGGCUCGUAGGUGGCCAACUAAGUCGGACGUGAAAUCCCUCGGCUUAACCGGGGAACUGCAUCCGAUACUGGAUGGCUUGAGUUCGGGAGAGGGAUGCGGAAUUCCAGGUGUAGCGGUGAAAUGCGUAGAUAUCAGGAGGAACACCGGUGGUGUAGACGGCUUACUGGACCAUAACUGACGCUGAGACACGAAAGCGUGGGUAGCAAACAGG
This 253-nucleotide ribosomal RNA is filed under the name uncultured bacterium. RNAcentral describes it as "partial 16S ribosomal RNA". It matches the Rfam family "Bacterial small subunit ribosomal RNA", at positions 524 to 776 of the family's 1533-position model. The record is from RNAcentral.